GCUGUAGUUAAAACGCUCGUAGUUUAUACAAGGGAUGCAAUUUGUAUGUUUCAGACUAUUGCUAGUUGCUGGCAAAUUCGUUUAUCGAUUAGUUAGUAACCAAGCGUAGUCUUUGCUUGGUUUUCCAAGUAAGCACGUUAGUGCCAAGGGUUUUGGGUCUCUUCUUACCAAAAAGUCUUGGCAUGUGUGGGGCAUAGAUUGCGUUCUGAUUCGAACCGUGAACAAAUUAAAGUGUUUAAAGCGGGCAUUGUACGUUCUUUGAACGUUUUGCUUGAAUAAUUUAGCAUGGGACUCAUUUUCCUUGCAAAAGGAUAAGAAAAAGGAGCCAGGAAGAGGACUCUGGUAUUGCGCGUUUAGAGGUGAAAUUCCGACAUCUUCGCAGGACGAACGGAGGCGUAGGCUGUCAUUGCCCAUCACAUCUCUAUUGAUCAGGAACGAAAGUCAGGGGAUCGAAGAUGAUUAGAUACCGUCGUAGUCCUGACCGUAAACGAUACUAACUCGAGUUUGUAUGUAACAGUUUUUCAAAAAUUGAUACAGAAUCCAAGGGAAACCGUUAAGUCUUUGGGUUCUGGGGGGAGUAUAGUCGCAAGGCCGAAACUUAAAGGAAUUGACGGAAAGACACCACCAGGAGUGGAGUUUGCGGCUUAAUUCGACCCAACGCGGGAAAACUCACCAGGAUAGGACAGAAUGAGGAUUGACAGGUUGAAUAUGGUCCUUUCUUGAUUUUUUGGAAGGUGGUGCAUGGCCGUUCUUAGUUCGUGGAGUGAUCUGUCUACUUAAUUGUGUUAACGAACGAGACCUUAACCUGUUAACUAGGCACUAGUUGAAUUUUAUUCAUGGGUUUCUUACGAAAUCUAGGUCAUUCGGGUUUUACCCGAGCUUCUUAAAGGGACAAUACUGUGUAUUUUAUAUUUUAGCGUAGGGAAGUUUAAGGCAAUAACAGGUCUGUGAUGCCCUGAGAUAUCCUGGGCGGCACGCGUACUACAAUGUCAUUGACAACAGGCUUUCCGCUUCGGCGGGCCUCUACCAAAAUGUAGGGGAAAACGUGUCAAACACUUAUAUGACUGGGAUAGCUGUUUGUAAUUACAUCUUAAACGAGGAAUUCCUAGUAAGCGCAAGUCAUCAUCUUGCAUUGAUUACGUCCCUGUCUUUUGUACACACCGCCCGUCGCUCCUACCGAUUGGAUAGCAAGGUGAACUUGAUGGACUCUAACGAGAAAAUUUAUUAAACCUUUCCAUCUCUA
Molecule: ribosomal RNA, 1243 nt
Filed under: metagenome
Description: bacterial SSU rRNA
Rfam family: Eukaryotic small subunit ribosomal RNA
Source: RNAcentral